Molecule: transfer RNA, 63 nt
Filed under: marine eukaryotic metagenome
Rfam family: tRNA
About the family: Transfer RNA (tRNA) molecules are approximately 80 nucleotides in length. Their secondary structure includes four short double-helical elements and three loops (D, anti-codon, and T loops). Further hydrogen bonds mediate the characteristic L-shaped molecular structure. tRNAs have two regions of fundamental functional importance: the anti-codon, which is responsible for specific mRNA codon recognition, and the 3' end, to which the tRNAs corresponding amino acid is attached (by aminoacyl-tRNA synthetases). tRNAs cope with the degeneracy of the genetic code in two manners: having more than one tRNA (with a specific anti-codon) for a particular amino acid; and 'wobble' base-pairing, i.e. permitting non-standard base-pairing at the 3rd anti-codon position.
Source: RNAcentral
CGUUAGCUCAGCCGGUAGAGCAUCUGCCUUUUAAGCAGAGGGUCGUUGGUUCAAGUCCAACAC